UACGGAGGGGACUAGCGUUGUUCGGAAUUACUGGGCGUAAAGCGCACGUAGGCGGAUUUGUAAGUCAGGGGUGAAAUCCCGGGGCUCAACCUCGGAACUGCCUUUGAUACUGCAAAUCUCGAGUCCGGAAGAGGUGAGUGGAAUUCCUAGUGUAGAGGUGAAAUUCAUAGAUAUUAGGAAGAACACCAGUGGCGAAGGCGGCUCACUGGUCCGGUACUGACGCUGAGGUGCGAAAGCGUGGGGAGCAAACAGG
Molecule: ribosomal RNA, 253 nt
Filed under: uncultured bacterium
Lineage: Bacteria
Description: partial 16S ribosomal RNA
Rfam family: Bacterial small subunit ribosomal RNA
Source: RNAcentral